CCCUGCCACCGGGGAUGGGGAGAGGGGUGGGAGGGCGCCUUUGAGACCCCCAACAAUGAUGCACGACUAGACGCGCACGGGGGACCAUCUCAGUGUCCAGAAGCCGGGGAGCACAAUGGAGAGGAACUCUGAGCUUGGUUAGUGAUCUGGAGUGUUCAGUUGGAAGACUGGAGGUUGGAGGAAGCGAGCGAGCGAGCAAGCAAGCGUAGAAGGCGACUCUCGCAGACCGCCUGCCCCAGCCUUCACUCUGGAGCGUUUGCCUCUGCAAAUUCAGCCUCUGGGGCUUGAAACUCAGCAGCUGUUUUAACAAUUGAAAAAAAAAUGACCCUACAGGACCAGUGAGGCCCAGCAAAACUUGGAAAUCCAUUAAGGCUGACUAGGUAAUUAUGGCUUAAAAGGAAAAGACUUUACCACAGAAUACGUUAGAGAGUCCCAUUGGCAUCUGAGAAGAGUGAAUCCACUUCAGGGGCUGCUUCUGCCAGUUGUGUGCUAUGGAUCAUGCUGGCUACAACCUUUCAGACCACAAGUGGAGAAGAUUAAGUCAGUUAAAAUAUCCCAUACUGAGUUAUUUAUCUAUGUGCUCUACCCUCUUAUUUGAAAUCACUGAAAUUCUGUCAUUGCCCCAGUGUGAAUCCUGGACAUCUCUCUGUUCCCAGUUUUGUUCUCAUGCACUGCUUUGCGCUUAUGAAGCCAUGAAUUUCCAGUAAUGUGACAAUUUUGAUGUUCUAGCACUUCUCGCCUCCAAGCUCAAACAGGGGAUUCUAGUUCAAAGAGGCUAAUAAAGGUAGGAUGUUGUUCAGGAACUGAGAAAAGAAAAUAGCAAAAUGAGAAUUCAAAGAGGUAUGAGACUCAGAUGACUGGAAACUUAAAUUUACUUGUGCAUCUGAGGAGGAGGAGGAAGAGGAAGAGGAAGAGGAGGAGGAAGAGGAGGAGGAGGAAGAGGAGGAGGAGGAGAGGAAGAGGAAGUUGAAAGAAGAAAAACUUUAAACACCUCACCUCUGUGAGGAAGUGGAAAUCACCUAAUGAGCAAUGAGCAAGGUGUGCCACUCACAAACUGGAGACAAACUUAAAAGCCAAUCAACUUUGGGUCAGUGCUUUUGAUACUGGGUGUGAUGUUCUCAAAGGUGGAGGCCACAUAGUCCAGCCAUGCCUCACAUACAGACAGAACUUCAGAGCCACAGCAGGAUGACUCUCUUUCUCUUUUCACCAAAAGACACACUUGUGAAUCUAUUUCCUCCUCAUCUUAACUUCAAGACAAGGCAUUAUAUAGUGAAAACACACACACACACACACACACACACACACACACACACACACACACACAACCAAGUGAAUGACAAUAACAUCAGUGGGCCAUAGCAGAUUACAAAGGGGAGAGGGAGUGGGAAGAAUGAAAAGGGAGUAAUAAUUAAGAACUUAUAAUAGUUGUGAGAGAGUAGGUGAAAUCAUUAGCAACAUUAAAGAUGACCAACUGACAUUCUAGAGUAUGUGUAAAAGUGAAGCAAAGAUGGCCUCCUUAAUAAUGAGAUAUUAAGAAGCUUAAGAAAAAGGCUAAAGUCUCACCCGCCCCCACCUCUUCUUACCAUGUAUAAAGGUCAAAGAACUUGCUCAAAUCACUCAGGGAAACACUUUAAGACAUUGGCAUAGAUAAAACCGUUCUUAAUAGAAGGCUAAAGUAUUAAGAAUUGACAAAUGGGAUUUCAUGAAAUUAAAAAGCUUCUACACAGCAAUGAAAACAAUUAAUUGAAGAAGGAAACAGUCUUCAGAAUGAAAGAAAGUAUUUGACAGCUAUUCAUUUGACAUGGAUUCCUAUUUAGAAUAUGUAAAGAAAUGAAAAUGAAAUGACAAAAUAACGUGCAAUGAAAUCAGUGAAUGAGCAAAUUAACAUUUCUUCAAAGAAGUAAAAACAGCUAAUAUAUAAAAAGAUGUUCUGUAUCCUCGGCCAUCAGGGAAAUGCAAAUUGAAACUGCUUUGAGCUUUCAGCUCACCCUAGUCAGAAUACAUCGUCAUCAUCAUCAUCAUCAUCGUCAUCAUCAUCAUCAUCAUCAUCAUCAGCAGCAGCAGCAGCAGCAGCAGCAACAACAACAACAGCAGCAGCAGCAGCAGCAGCAGCAGCAGCAGCAGCAGCAGCAGCACAUACCAACUCUCAAGUUCAAGAGAAAACAAUGCUAUAUAGCUUGUCAGCACCACAGGAAGUGCUGUCAAAAGGGGCACAUAGAUCGGAAAGUGUGGGUGUGGUGGGAAACACAGACAUGGCAGUGAGGGUGCAUAUAAUAGGAAAUGUGGGGUGAGAAGGGGAAGGCAGACAUGGCAGAAAGUGUACAUAGGGCUGGGAAAGCAGACGUGGCAGAGAGGGGCACACAGAAUAGGAAAUGUGGGGUAGGGAGGGAAAGACAGACAUGGCAGAGAGGCACAGCAUAGCAAAGUGAAAA
Molecule: long non-coding RNA, 2432 nt
Organism: Mus musculus (house mouse)
Lineage: Eukaryota; Metazoa; Chordata; Mammalia; Rodentia; Muridae
Product: predicted gene, 36144
Exons: 2
Source: RefSeq, a predicted model, not a curated record